AUUAAGGCCCCUAUGGGGGCCAUCAAAUUAACCAAAGAAGAUAAAG
Non-coding RNA from Bdellovibrionales bacterium, 46 nucleotides. The record is from Rfam. NCBI's taxonomy places the organism in Bacteria, Pseudomonadati, Bdellovibrionota, Bdellovibrionia, Bdellovibrionales.